CCUACGGGGGGCUGCAGUGGGGAAUAUUGGACAAUGGGCGAAAGCCUGAUCCAGCCAUGCCGCGUGUGUGAAGAAGGCCUUCGGGUUGUAAAGCACUUUCAGUGGGGAAGAAAGCCUUGGGGCUAAUACCCUCGAGGAAGGACAUCACCCACAGAAGAAGCACCGGCUAACUCCGUGCCAGCAGCCGCGGUAAUACGGAGGGUGCGAGCGUUAAUCGGAAUUACUGGGCGUAAAGCGCGCGUAGGCGGUCUGAUAAGCCGGUUGUGAAAGCCCCGGGCUCAACCUGGGAACGGCAUCCGGAACUGUCAGGCUAGAGUGCAGGAGAGGAAGGUAGAAUUCCCGGUGUAGCGGUGAAAUGCGUAGAGAUCGGGAGGAAUACCAGUGGCGAAGGCGGCCUUCUGGACUGACACUGACGCAGAGGUGCGAAAGCGUGGGUAGCAAACAGGAUUAGAUACCCCAGUAGUC
RNAcentral lists this ribosomal RNA (465 nucleotides) under Vreelandella stevensii. RNAcentral's name for it is "partial 16S ribosomal RNA". It matches the Rfam family "Bacterial small subunit ribosomal RNA", at positions 338 to 795 of the family's 1533-position model. Lineage: Bacteria; Pseudomonadati; Pseudomonadota; Gammaproteobacteria; Oceanospirillales; Halomonadaceae. The record is from RNAcentral.